GAAAUGCGAUAAGUAAUGUGAAUUGCAGAAUUCAGUGAAUCAUCGAAUCUUUGAACGCACCUUGCGCUCCUUGGUAUUCCUUGGAGCAUGCCUGUUUGAGUAUCAUGAAAUCUUCAAAGUAAAUCUUUUAUUAACUCAAUUGGUUUCUACUUUGGUAUUGGAGGUCUUUGCAGCUUCACACCUGCUCCUCUUUGUUCAUUAGCUGGAGCUCAGUGUUAUGCUUGGUUCCACUCGGCGCGAUAAGUUAUCUAUCGCUGAGGACACUGUAAAAGGUGGCCAAGGUAAAUGCAGAUGAACCGCUUCUAAUAGUCCGUUGACUUGGACAAUACUUUUAUGAUCUGAUCUCAAAUCAGGUAGGACUACCCGCUGAACUUAAGC
RNAcentral lists this unclassified non-coding RNA (378 nucleotides) under plant metagenome. RNAcentral describes it as "partial contains 5.8S ribosomal RNA, internal transcribed spacer 2, and large subunit ribosomal RNA". The stretch from base 1 to 105 matches the Rfam family "5.8S ribosomal RNA", at positions 50 to 154 of the family's 154-position model. The record is from RNAcentral.